GCCCACCCCAGAUAGUUGGGUGGGCAGUGGCACAAAAAUGUGGUGUCACUGCAACACACUCCAGGGCACUAAGGGCGCGUUUGGUGGCUCUUGCAAAAACAGCUAUAAAUAACAUCCGAAACUCCGAUUCAGCGUACUGUCUGCGUCUACCAUGUGGGGGUUGAUGAUUGUUCAUAGCCUGGGACGUGUCCACGAGACGGUAACUACGCAAGCGGCACCGUCCAUAAAAGAACGCGAAACCAAUUAGGCACAAACAUUGCCUCCAACAACAACAACAACGGCGAUUCGAAGCCGACACAGCCGUAUUGAACGUGUUGAGACGGAAGACGGUUAAGCAUUGCGUUAGAUAGCGAUUUUGGAUACGAAGAAUGAAAAAUGGAUUAUCGCAAAAUGGAGUGGAGGCACAGUAUGUACAUGCCUACGAUACCAUACU
RNAcentral lists this unclassified non-coding RNA (433 nucleotides) under Yarrowia lipolytica. The record is from RNAcentral. Lineage: Eukaryota; Fungi; Ascomycota; Dipodascomycetes; Dipodascales.